UCCACAGGGGGAAACGUGUCAAAGGGAAGGCCUUCAGGUAUUGUUUUGGCAAGCUAGGAGAACACAUCUGACAGACAAAAAGGUUUCAUCAAAGACACACAGACAGCUCCUGAAGUAAAGGACCUACACAGGACCUUCAUAUCAAGGACAUUGACUGUGUGGAUCUCGAGGUGCAGUUACCCAAAAGUUGCUACCCACGGAAUACCAGGUUUUGAGGGAUCCUGCCAGAGCAGAGAAUCAACAGAUACAUUGAAGAGGAGACUCCGACAUGACCGCCGGCAUCUUGUGUUAUUCACCCCCACCACUUGUAAUACUGAAUGCCUGAAUUGUUGUUUGCUGCUCAGACUUUGUCAACAGAUAUGGUCUUCGACAUGUUACCCUUAGGUGUGGAAACAGAUUGUGACAGUCCAGCAAAAUGAGCCAGACAGAUAGUAACACUGAAAAAGGACAACGUUGUUCCCAUGGCCUCCCACUGCAGAAGACUACAGACGUUCAGUGAAGCACAAACAGCUGUUCCUCUUGUACUUAAUAAUUUAGUCAGCUGGAUUCUAGGUGCCACUAAGGAGCCAACAGUGGAUAAUUUUGUCAACAUUUCAAUGGCAUACAUUAAAAGGGCAGCCUGUAAUUGUUUGCCUUGCCUCCAUCUUCCUUGCCACCAAGGGGUUGUAGACUGAUGCCCUAGUCCUCCUGUUUAGGUACAACCAUGCAGUUAGGCCAGUCUAUUGAAGCAUAUACUUAUGACUGUUUGUAUGUGUUGUGUAUCUAGUAAUGGAUAAAUUACCACAUGAAUAACUGCAUAUUCAUUAUAUUGAUAAUUAUAAUGGCUUCCAUUAUUGAUUAAAAAGGGAUCUACCACCACUUGCAUUAUUGUUUUGUUAUAAAUGAAGCACUGUUAGGAAUCCAGGAAGACGGAUGCCGAGGCACUCAAGGUUGCAUUUUUUUAAAAACUUUAUUUGGCUACAAUGCCUCAGCAUCUGUCUUCCUGGACCAAGUUUGACAGCCCCUACACUGAUGAGCACCAAGGAAAAAAGGUGAAGACCCAGAAGCACUCCAAUUACCUGCUUGUGUUUGAUAAUGUUAGGAUCCAUUUAUCCCACUUUAAAUGCAUGAAUAUCACUGAAAAUUGGAAUUGUUUCCAUUUAUUUUUUUUAUUUUUUUUAAAUGUAUAUAUCAUGAAAGGUAACUUGCAUUGCCUUUUGAAGCACAGUUUAACAGUUGGACCACUUUGUAUAGCCUAUAUGAACGAUCAUUAUUGAUCUUGGAUAUUAUUGAUAUUGUAGGCCUAUUUCUAUUUGGGCUCAUGUCUUUGCCUUUGGCACCCUCAUGCAUUAUUGUUCUUCAAGAUAGAAAUUAAUCACGGUCAUUCUUAACUGUUAAGAAUCAAUCUGUCUUCCUUAGAGAUAUAUAUAUUAUAAAAACCUUAGUUUAGUACAAUUUGUGGAACGCAAGAGGACUGAUAGCUGUCCAAAUCGGCAACGUGAUUGGUUUAGCGCGGUCACGUGGUGUAUCGUGUCUCCUCAUUCAGCUAAGGAAAUAUUCCUUCUGUAAACGUCUAUACCCUUGGAUGUUUUCACGAUCCGAACCUCUCUGAAGUGAAACAUAGUGUAGCGUUUGGUAGCCAGGGAACACACAGGAUGUAGACAGAAGUGUCCGUUUAAUGGAGACAGUUGGCCACAGCCACGCCACAUAAAAAUCAUGAACAAGUAGGCCUACACUGCUUACCAGUAACCCAACUGUAGCACAGCUGCUACGUAGAUCUCUCACAGUAAACAGAGAGAACUCCCCGCUCCCCUUAUUCGAACCCCAACAGUGCCUCGCACCCACCAAACCAUAGAACAGAAUCAUAGAACCGAUGCGUACACAACUUAAGUAACCCCCCAGACUCGCUACAAUAGUUUUGGUCAGUUCAUCAUCUUAUGGGCAUCGUGUUCGGAUGCUGUGGAGCGAGAAUGAACGAAAAUUGAGGUGACCUGACGGCCUAUAAAUACGGAAGAUCUCUUUCAAGUAUGUUUAACACCGUGGGCUUCCUCGAUGCAUGCGAGACGUUCGCUGAAACCGACAAAGCUGAAGUUGAACUUUGGAACAGUUUUGUAUAGUGUUGUAGUACACCGGCAACUCGCAUGUCUUUUUGGCAAAAGCGACAACUAGUCCGACUCCAUCUCAAAACGUUAAAGUUAUCCACGGUCCUGCUCACAGCUUCACUACUUCCCUUGUUUACAGUCCCCUCUCCACCACAGCUGUCUGUCGCGCUUACUACGUCACAGUCAGUUGCGCUGAUUGGUCAGAGCGUUGGCCUAUUAGCACAGACAUGGUUUGAAAGACAACGGGUUGUGCUCAUCAACAAUGUUCCGUUUUAUCCAUUCAUCAGAGCCAGACUAAAUUAAGGCAUCCAAUACAUUUA
Molecule: long non-coding RNA, 2401 nt
Organism: Engraulis encrasicolus (European anchovy)
Lineage: Eukaryota; Metazoa; Chordata; Actinopteri; Clupeiformes; Engraulidae
Exons: 3
Source: RefSeq, a predicted model, not a curated record